UAGGCUACAGGGACACACACUGAAACACAAGGUUAAUGGGGUGUGUUUGUCAGUUUGUAUGCCAUUUUCCAGUCAGUUCUCAUACAAAAAGUUGAAGUUUCCAAAUUAUACUUUAGAGGUUAACAUGAGACAAGCGAACCAGAUAGGUGUUGAGAAAGGCCCUUUGUCUUGCUGUGAAAUCAUACUGAAUGAUGAUGAUAAUGAUUUUGAUGUUAGUCAAUUUAUACACCUCAGCUCAAGUUUUCCAGAGUACUUUUUCUCUUGAUACGAGUGCAAACUUGAUGGCUGCAUACGAACUGAUGAACACACAUUACAAGGUGUGAAGAAGCAAGUAAACUUACAAGAAAAAAAUUGAAACGUCACUUGAGUAUCGGCGAAACUUCCGAGCACAGAUGGACUUACAAUACAAGCUGCCAAACUAUGAUUGGACACUAGCAAGAUUUUUCAGCGUUGAUGAGAUUAUACCUGCGUCAACAGUAAUAUUAUCACUCUUUCAUAUUGUUUAUAAAAAUAUGACUUACUAUUCUAUUGAAACAUUUAGUGAUCCCCUGUUAGAAAGUAGAAAUAUAUCACAUUUGUACAUGGUAAUAAUUAGAAGUAAUAAUAAUAAUAAUAAUAAUAAUAAUAAUAAUAAUAAUAAUAAUAAUAAUAAUAAUAAUAAUAAUAAUAAUAAUAAUAAUAAUAAUAAUUAUCCACACAAGACAUUUUAGUAAGGUUGAAAAUAGUAAAGCCAGUUUCACACAAGAACAUUUUCUGGCCUCUCUUGGUAUUUUUAUGCCUGCAGACGCUUCUUAACCCGGUAGCAGCAACGGGCCAAAUUUGUGACUUUAGUGUGUACCAGCGACAGGGCAAAUUAUUGGCUUGGCAUAAACCCCCAAAAUAGAGGAUGCAUAAACUGCUAACGUAUGUGCUGAUAUGUUAUAUAAUGAUUUACAUGAGUGAUGAUUUCUCUCAUUAAUUCGCUUAGAGGAGCCUUUAAGAAACAUGAUCCCCGCAGCUACCGGGUUAAGAUAAAUGUGCAGACCAAUGAAUAUGCUUUCUUGUCUAUCUAUCUGUCUGUUGUGUGUAUGUCUGUUAGUCUGUCUGUGCCCCUUUUCUUUAUUUCAUGACUCACAGUGAUACUCGCCUUGCUGAGGUGUCAUGUAUUACUUGAAUUUUGCUUCAUUUGUCUAGUUCUAUGGGCAUGUUCUUCAUACUGUGUCUUAGUAAUCUGUGACACUUUGGUCGGGUAAGUAUCAAGAUGGGACAAAAGAAAGAGAUGUGCAGUGACUAUACAAUUUAAACAAGAGGACUAAGGUAUUAUGUGACACUGAGGUUGGCUAAAUGUCUUAGUGAGAACCAGAAAAAUGCAGUUAUUCUUCAUAAUCUUGAUGACCUGAAAAUGGUAAAACUAGGGAAGUAAGGUUAAUUGUGACACACUUUUGUAAGGUGAGUAAACAGGGAAAGUAUGGUUAAUUGUGACACACUUUUGUAAGGUGAGUAAACAGGGAAAGUAUGGUUAAUUGUGACACACUUUUGUAAGGUGAGUAAACAGGGAAAGUAUGGUUAAUUGUGACACACUUUUGUAAGGUGAGUAAACAGGGAAAGUAUGGUUAAUUGUGACACACUUUUGUAAGGUGAGUAUCAUGGUGAGUCAAAGGAAUGAGGUGCAGAGUGACCCGACACAUCACCCAAAAAUGCUCUCCUACUGGCAGAGCACUAAGAGAUGCCAGAACAUGUGCUGGGUGACGCUGGCCUUGACACAGACAGGAAAAAUAUGGAAAAUCAACAUAAGAAGGAAAAACUGUGCAUAUAUCAACCUCACAAAACCAAAACAUAAGUAUAUAAUAAUUUUGACAAAGGUAAAACAAAUAUAUGCAGUUAGCUUGACACAUUACUGAAAAAAUAAAAAAAUAAAAUAUAAAAGUUGAUAGGAAAAAACAGUGCAAAGACCACAAGAUAUAACUUAGCCAAAACAUGACAAAACAGAAUAUGGAAAAUUAAAUAAACAGCAGAAAAUUAUGUGUGAAAUAUAAAGGAAGGAAAUACACCACAGACCAAGAUGUUAGUAAAACCCAAUAUGACAAAACUGUAGACGGAAAAACAGUACACAGACCAGACUGUUGAUAUACUAAAACAAGGCCGAGCUGCAGAAGAAACGAGAUCAAUGGAACAUGAUGAGAAAAUGUAAA
This is a long non-coding RNA of Eriocheir sinensis (Chinese mitten crab), 2171 nucleotides long. RefSeq lists it as uncharacterized. The transcript has 3 exons. The record is from RefSeq and is a predicted model, not a curated record. NCBI's taxonomy places the organism in Eukaryota, Metazoa, Arthropoda, Malacostraca, Decapoda, Varunidae.